This is a non-coding RNA of Odocoileus virginianus texanus, 1601 nucleotides long. Lineage: Eukaryota; Metazoa; Chordata; Mammalia; Artiodactyla; Cervidae. The record is from RefSeq and is a predicted model, not a curated record.
GAGGAGUCUGGUGGGCUACGGUCCACAGGGUCAGAGUCGGACACAACUGAAGAGACUUAGCACGCAUGCACGCACAAGUAAGGCUGCAAAAAAAGCAGGUUUGGGGAUUAGCCUAUCUUAAGAUAUUCAUAACUUCAUCAUGAAUUGUUUUUAAAGACUUGGAAUGAGUCCCAAGUGGAUAAGCAGUCUAAUUGAGAUGAAUAUUUGAGUAACUGAUUAAAUGUUGCUUUUCAGUUCACCAUUUUUCCUAAAUCUCAUAAGGAUACUAAAAGCUAUCAGGUACCAGUUCAUAAAAUUUACAGAACAUUGCUCAAAACAUUCAGGGGUAUUUAGGACUAUAUCUCUAAUAUAACAAGUGUAACCCUGUCAUCUAUUCUUUAUGUUUACACGAUUCUAUGGAAGGCCUUGUGAUUUCAUGUUAUUAGCACAGAAAAGAUGGAUAAGUUUGAUUUCUACAGGAGGGCUUCCCUUCUUCAGCAGACACAAUUUCCAAUGGCAACCCAAAAACAGGAUUUAUGGAUUUGGAAGGAAGGCCCUAACAAACCCACUGUUGAGCAUUUCAAUUAGAGCUUUGAAUGAUCAAUAUUCAGCAAGUUACUAUCAAAACUCAAUUAAAAGUUUUUUCUUGUGUAGCAACAUUUUGAGCAUGGUGAAGAGGAGAUGAGGAAGAGCUGAGCUUUUAUUACAGGAAUAAAUGCCAGCAGAAGGAGAUACAAAAGAGUCUGAUCCUGUGCUAGAAAAGAUGGUGCUAAUCAAAGGGUACUGACUUGAACCAUACCUUAGAAGGACAAAGUAUUAAGGACUAAUGCAUUAAUCUGUUAAGCCCCCGUGUCAGCAGAAGGGGUGGGGGCAGUGAGGGAGGGAAAAUUGCCCUUUACUAGAGUGCCCUUAAUAGGAUAUACUAGAAACUGAACUUGGAAUGAAGAAUCGCUCUGAAGCUAUGUAUACAGUGGAAAGCACAGGGAAGUGUAAUCAGACCCACAAGUAGUCUCCAUCAUAGUGUGGAAUCCAAGCUGUCUGCAUAUUCAAGGAAGAGGUAUGCAGUGAUUGACAAUUUUUAUUAUACAUACUGAGAACUCCAGUAAGCACUGGAAAGUACAAAAAUAAUGUCUCAUUUUUAGUUAGUUACUCCUAAUUAUUAAAGCCAACUUUCUUUGCCAUGGAGGCUUCUGUAUCUCUUCUGUAUCUCUGACUCAAGCAAGUAGGGGCCUUGCCUAGUCUGGGCUCCACCUCUGUUCAAUAGCUGCCACUUGGGACUUCCCUGGUGUUGCAGUGGAUAGGAAUCCACCUGCCAGUGCAGGCGACACAGGUCCAAUCCCCGGCCCAGGAAGAUUCCUCAUGCCUUGGAGCAACUAAGCCCAUGCCCCACAACUGCUGAACCCGAGUUCUAGGGCCCAAGAGCCAUAACCACGGAGCCCACAUGCCACAACUACUGAGGCCUGUGCGCCUAGAGCCUGGACUCCAUGACAAGAAGCCACACAGUGAGAAGCCCGCACAUUGCAAAGAAGAGCAGUCCCCGCUUAUCUCAACAAGAGAAAGCCUGCAUAAAGCAACGAAGAUCCAGUGCAACCAUAAAUAAAUGAACAAGUUGCUGCCACUGA